Molecule: long non-coding RNA, 1992 nt
Organism: Homo sapiens (human)
Lineage: Eukaryota; Metazoa; Chordata; Mammalia; Primates; Hominidae
Product: long intergenic non-protein coding RNA 1524
Source: Ensembl
AGUGCUGGCGCAAGUCGUCUUGCGCCAGGCGACUGGGUCUGAGGAGGCAGGAGUUAUUCAUUCCCUUAAGCUUUCAGGCCGGGGGGAGAAUCUUUCAGGUGGUAGCUGCAAGAACUCUUAGUAUGUUGACCUCACCUCUGCCUUCCACAUACCACUACCAGUGAGGAAUUAGGAAUGCAUGAGAAGAGUGUCCAAGAAGAGUGUCCUCAUUCAUGCAAGGCUUAAGAGAGAAUGCAGGUCAACAUCACCAUGUCAAUCAGAGGUGCAGAUGCUGAGAGCACUUUCUAGUCAAGUCCUGCAUGUUCAUUUCUGUCUCAAGUCAGCUUCUCUGAGAAUCCAAUUUAUAAAAAUAUAUUUGUGAAUGUAUAAGUAAAGUGACUUGGAUUUUGUCUACGUACAAGGACUUCUAUGCCUGCAUAAAACAGGAAAGAGAUCUUCAUGUAAACAGAGUCCCUCUUAUUGGCUGAAGUGAAGAGUCAUUCUGAGGUUGUUCAAUAUAAAAUUGGAUCAUCUCAAACAUACCUACCGGGAUGUAGAAAGAAAGAUAAGUUUAGAUUUUUUUUAAUAUGAUGUUUUAUCUGUUGGAGUGGGUUAAAUUGCAAUACUCUUUGAGCACAUUCUGUUUUCCUGCUCCUUCAGGAAAUCAUCUGUGGCUCUGCUUCUUGGGUAAUGUAGCCUACUUCAUUGAAAAAAAGAGUAACUCAGUUUUGUUGCUUAUACAUGGGCUUCUGGACUGCUUAUGUGUUUGUGUAUCACACACUCAAUUCAAGGGCUCCCUUUGACUUUCUGCACUGAGCAGAGCAAUUUCAUUCAAAUUUUCAUUCAAAAUUCAAUGUCGUCAUCAGCCACCCAAAUGCAAGGAUGUGAUUUAGGGAUGAGUGAUGUCAGUUAUGAAGAUUUCAAAGUCUAUUUAAAAUUUUCAAGAAUGCUCUGCAUUCCAAUCACACACACUCUAGUCUAAGAAGUUCUGGCCAUUCCUGUCAUGUCAUCUGGUGGAUUUUUAAUAAUAAAAUCCCUUAUCUUUCUGCCCAAGGAUCUGACCUAUUUAGGAGCUUCUGGACUAUUUUCAUCUAGUCCCUUGGCUCAUCAGUUGAUUCAGUAAAUACAUAUUGAGUACUUGCAAUAUCCAAGGCACUGUUCUAGGAUCUGGGGACACAAUGUCCAAGACUGACAAGACGCCGUGAAACUGGCAGUUUAGUGGGAGUUGCCAGGAGAAGAAGCUCUCCAAAGCCCAUGCAAGUGAAAGGUAUUGUAUUGAAAAGUGAUAGGAAGCCAUCAUUGGAAAUGGUAAUUCCUCAUGGUAUUUGGGGCCAGAAACUGCUAUUCUGUUAGGUAUAAACCCACUCUUUAGUGUUCUCUAGGGCCAUGUUGUUUUUGGACUUCUCCUUUUAAUAUGUGUCUGCUGCAGUAUUUUUCUUCUUUCUGAAGAUCAGCAUUUUUUUGAUUCUUCUAUCAAGUGUAUACUUGGCAGAAAACAUCCCCUCCAGCCUUGACUUGAUGUGACCGUGUAGUUCUUGAGCUCAGUGCCAUCUGACUCUUAAGACGACAUUCUUGAGGGAGAAUCAGAUGGGUUGCUGUUGAGUCAGUGGACCCCGCCCUCCUGUGCUAGCUGUUUGUUAUUGGUGCCACGUGCUGCCAUCUGUGAAGUCGAGUCACACACCACAGACAUGGCUGCCAGAGACCAAGGCGGGAGGAUGUUUGCAGGGAAGGCGGCCUGAGAAACACUCCCAAGUGCACCUGCAACCGGAGGACUGUUCAUCUGCAGCUCCAAAUGCAUUGUACAGGCACAGGCUCACUCUUCCCCUUUUUCUCACAGUUGUUUAGAUUGUGGUAUGUUGUGGAAAACAGAUAUGCUGAGCUUCUGGCUCUGUGGUUUCCAGGAUUGAGGAGACAUAAGUAGGGAAGUUGGCCUUUCCUUCUGUCUUGCAUUUUAUUAUAUUUCAUUUUAAGGGGGGCAUUUCUAAAAAAUAUUAACUUUCUCAUAUUACAAAA